AUGGGGUGGAGGCGCGAUGGUGAUGCGGCGGCGCUGAUGGCUGGAUGGAUGGACGGUGUGUGCUGGCGGCGGCAUGGAGAUGGAUCGGUGCUGGUGGAUGCUCGUGAUGGCGCGGUGGCGCGCCACGCCGGCCUGGCCGCGGCCGCGGCUGGUGGUGGAGAAGGUGGGGUGAGGGAGAUGGAGAUAUGCCAGGCCCAAUUUGGGAGUGGUGCAGCGCUAGGGAUUUUGAUCCCCUCCCUGCCUGAUCUGCCACUUUUACUCUUUGGCCCUUCUCUUCUCAACUUUCUACACAAGAAGAUCCUCCCACUUCUUUAUCUAGCCCCUGGUUACUUCUUUUCAUCUCACACGGGUCUCUUCUUCUUCUCUUCUCUUCUUCACUCUUCUCGAUAG
RNAcentral lists this ribosomal RNA (390 nucleotides) under Triticum aestivum (bread wheat). RNAcentral's name for it is "partial small subunit ribosomal RNA". The record is from RNAcentral. Lineage: Eukaryota; Viridiplantae; Streptophyta; Magnoliopsida; Poales; Poaceae.